UUUUGUCCUCAGGGACAGAAACAUGCAUAGUGGAGUUAUUUGAAAGUGGGAGAUGGAAAAACCAAAAAUCGAAAAACUCAGAUGCCCCGUGCUAACAUUUGUGGAGCGCUCACACUGUUUGAAAUGCUGAACGUGAUUACUCUUUAAUCCUUACAGCCGCUCUGCAUCUGUGUGUUUAUGAGGCCCUGAGUCAGCCCUUCCCCCGAGGUCCCUCAGGAGGUGAGCGGCAGGGCUGAGGGCUGAACCCAGGCGGCACCACCUCAAACUCGAUGGCAGUGGGGGGUCUCCGCCCCACGCAGUUGCUCGGUAACAUGAAGGCAGAAUUGCCCACCAGAGAGAGGGUGACCUGCAGCUCCGUGGGGUGUGCGGUCACCAGGGUGCGGCCUGGAGACAAAAGGGCUCCUUUGUGCUUCUGCCUGGCGGUAAACACCAGCCACUGCCCGGCAGGCAUGCCCCAGCCUGCGGCUCUGGAAUGUGGGCGAGCCACCAUCCUGACGACCGGCCACUGGUGGCUGGUCUCGAGGUGGCCAGGCCCGGCCUGCAGACCCAGCCACCCGCGCUCUGUGUGUGCCCGAGGAAGGAGCCCAGCCCUUCACACCGCCUCGAUGGACGCUGAGCAGUUGAAGUGAUGCCCAGAACCCCAGUGUCCGCUCUGGGCAGAAGCACCGGUGGCCUCGAGGGUGGAAGUGCUGGAAGGAUGGCGACAGCUCCAGGCAGCUGCGGCUUCAAGGAGGCUGAGACUGUGGAGAUGCUCUGCCUCCUGAGAAGGGGACGGGAGGGGACACAUCCUGGUGGCACGUCCGAGGCUGGUUUUAGCCUGGUGCCUGCGUCUUUACAGCCGGUCCCCCAGCUGCUCAGCCCCUGCUUAGCAGAGCGAGGGCAGGGCUCCGGCUCCGAGCCGCGGGCAGGCAGCGGCGUUUACUGCGUGACUUAUCUCCCACGUGCUCGUUUUCGGAGUCGUCUUCUCUUGGUGGCAGUGACACUCCUUUUCCAUUUACAUGGAUCACAGAGAAUUUUCUUUUAAAAUAAACUUAAGUAAAAAAAAAUAAGGUGAGUCAUUUUGAAUAAAAAUAUGAAGCAAAUGGUAGAUGGAUGGAGAUGGUCGGAGUCAUAGAGGUGGCCCCCAAGGGUCUGGAGUUUGGGAUUCGCAGACAAGGGCCUUCCUGGGUCCCUGGCAAGACGGGCUGGGCAGGCAAACGCCCGGAGGUGCGGGUCUCACCAGCCCCUCGCCCGGCGCUCCUCUGUCCCCACGUCCCGGUAGCUGAUUCUUAGUCUCUGGGACCUUUGGCCUCCUCUCCCUUUCUCCCCUCUCUCUCUUCUUCCCUCCUUCUCCGUGUCCCCAAGUCACGUCCGGGGAAGCAUCCUACAGAUCCAGCGCAACCCUUUGGCUGCCCUCUUGGUCUGAGGGCUUCCUUUUGGGGAGGGGGGUGCCCCGGGUGUCAGCUCUCACUGCCCCGUUCUCCUCUCCUUUGUUCGUCCAAUCAAUGCACCAGUUUCCACAAGGUGCCCUGGCUGACCCCACCCGGCCAAUGAAAUGAGCCUCGCCGACGGGCCUGGCGGGAACCGGUGCGUCUGAGGGCUCCCUGGGUGACUCCGGUGAGCGUCGCGGCGGGAACCUGGCCUGCAGCCUCCUCCCUCAAACUCAUUCGUCCCUCUCCCCGUCAACUUGGCCGCCCCCCCGACCCUGCCCAGUGGCGCAGACCUGUCGUUCUCCAGCCGGAUCUUCCCCGCCUGGGCCGUCUGGUUAAAAUGCAGGCUCUGGUGCCAGUCAGGGGGCCUGAGGUCCUGCAUCUCCAACCCACGUUGCUGACGCUGCCAGGAUCUCAUGCUCGGAUCGGUCGGGGUGUAGACGAACUUUCUGUCUGGACAGACGGUAAGUACCCUCAGUUUUGUGGGCCAUCCCGUUUCUGUUGAAAUGACUCAGCUCUGUGGUCAUGGCACCGAAGCAGCCCUCAACUGUACACACACGGCUGGGUGCCCACGAAGCUUCAUUUACGAAUUCAGGUGUUGGGCGGGUUUGGCGCUAGUUUGCCGACCCCUGGUGUAGACCAUGUUCUCUGUGGUCGGCCUUGGUGGACACCACCGCUCACCCCUCAGGAGCCCUCUGCGGCAGACCGUUAUCUUCCUCUCUGUGCCGCCGAGGAGUGGGCUGAGGCUCAGAGAGGGUCAGCCAUUUGUCCCAGGUCACACAGCCAGCAAGUGCCAAAGUUGGGACUGAAACCCAGCUCUUCUGGUUGCAAAGCCCGUAUGGCCUGGCCACAGCGAGUCACCAAAGCCCUUUGAGCCUCAGUUUCCCCACAGGCUGUCUCGAGAAGGCACUCUUCAGACUCUCUCUGCAGCAGUCACUGCCUCCCAGGGUCAGUGGGAGGUUAAAUACGGUAGUGAUUGGCACACAAGUGCUAGGAGGUUUUUCAUUCAUUCAGUGAGUGUUAGUUUGCUUGCUGAGAUGGUGACAGGAAAGGGAACUAGACAGAGGCCUCCCAUGGGGCCUGUGGGUCGUGGCCUUCCUCGUAAUUCUCCAGGGCCCCCCGAAGGAGGCCUCCUGAGCAGGUGCAGGGUGCCUUCCUGCCUCCCUCUGGGGGUCUGGCUCCCGUCGUCCUGGCCAGGGCUCUCCCCUGGACACAGCCUGCUUCCCCCCCGAUCCCCGUGGUCUGACUGCACGCACUUUCAGUCUCAGGUCGGCGUUUGUCAGCUCCGCCUAGGCCCUCCUGACAACACUCUCCUGCAGGGAGCCUGGCAUCUCUGUCAGUCUGGGGGUCAUUUUGGCGUGGCUGGACAGGCGAUGGAGAGCACGGAAGCCAUGCUCCUGUCCCCUGACUAUAACUCUUUUUUGUGUUCACGAAGGACCCUGGUCUCCCCCAUGCUUCUGUUCAGUCACCUUAGUGUGUUAGUUUUUAGUCCUUUUUACCAGUUGCUUCCUGAUCACAAAAUGGCUGCCACUGCUCCAGCCUCUUGACCUCACAGCAGCAGCACAAGCAGGACAGCAGGGAGAAAGCUUACAUCUCAUUGACUAGAACUGGGUCACGUCGCUGCUACUAGCUGCAAAGGAGGCUGAGAAGGCAAGAAUCUGGCAGAGGGCAAUGGGGCGGCUGUGACUAGACCAGUCGUGAUUCGUCCCCAGGUGCAGGGGAUGUUGCUGGUCCAACCAAACUGAUGUUUUGCUAGCAAGGAAGAAAUGGGGAGUGGCUUUCGAGAGGGCAGCCCAGAGUGAGUGUGACAGGGGCCAGAGAGGUUGGAGAGCAGAGUGUGAGGGAAUCAUGGUGGUGGAGAGGCUGGAGGCCAGGCCCCACGGGGCCUCACGGACCAUCCUAGGGUUGUUUGUAUCUCAAGGGCAAUGGGGAGCCAUUGAAGAGUUUGGGGCCAAGGCAGGUAGCAUGAGAGGAUUUGUGUGUCCAAGAGAAGUGACUCGGAUGGUGGUCCUGAGUCCUCUGAGGGGGCUGCCCGUGCCCCGAAUGGCUUCACAAAGGAAGCUCCGGAUGAUGGAGCCUAACCCCAGACCUCGGAGACUCCAGGAAACCAUCCAAGCCAGGCCUCUGGCGGCAGAGACCUGUCUCCAUGCCUGGGCCGAGGCGGGAGCCACCAGACACGCCUCCCUCCUGCAGGGAUCCCGUGUCCUCACGGGGGCCCAGGUCCCAGGACUGGCCAGACGAGCCAACGCUGCGGGAUUUGAGGACAGGCGCGGGGACCCGUCCCUCUGUCUGGAGCUUAGCAGGGAGCCAGGGGUGAGAGGAUGACCCUGCGGUGACGAUGGUCCUUGCCAGCCGGCCAGGCACUGGGCUGAACUCGCCGUGCGUCAUCCUUCAGUCGCCAUGACGACUGUGGGAUGCGGCUUAGGGAGCCAGUGUCAUGGUCACCGGGAGUCACCCCGUCCGGGCCCUGGGGAAGAACUCCUGGGGUGUGAACUCGCUUAGUGCUCGCAAGAGCCCAGAACCCUCUCCAACUCCCCGCUCCCUUCCCCCUCUGCCCCCGCCAUAUCCCAUCCGUCAGCUUGACUUGGAAAGUAUCUCCAGAAUCAGACCUUCCCCUCCUGCCCUGCUCCCAGCCUGGGCCCAGCCAUGCUCGCCUCCUGUCGGAUCAUUGCGUCCUCCCUCACACAGUGAGACAGAUCCUUUAAAACCUUCACUGCGAUCCUGUCCUCACUCUGCUUGAAACCCUCCAGCGGCUUCUCAUCCCCUGCACAACCAGAGCCCUGCCCACCUCUGCAUGCCUGCCUCCUACCACUUCUUCUGCUCCAGCCUUUCCAACCUCAUCCUGCCUCAGGGCCUUUGCACUGGCUGUUCCCUCGAACAGGCUGUUCCCUCAGGCCCAAAGUGCUCUUCUCCCUGAAAUCAGAACAGCUUGCUCCCUCUUUUCAUUCGGGUUCUGCUCAAAUGCCCUCUCCUCGAAGGUAGCAGGCUCCCUCCUCGUUAAAGGGGACCGCCCCCCUCACGCUCUGUUCCCUCCCCCAACAGAGGGCUAUGUUUUGGGUCUUUGUGCUCCCACCCAGAAUAUAGACUCCAGGCAGGGAUUUCUGUGGGUUCUGUUCUCUGCCGUAUCUUCAGCGUCUAGAUCAGUGUCUGCCCAGUGUAGGAGCCUAACAGAAAUUUCUUAGGUAAACGACCAACCUGCGAGGUGGGUACUGUUGUCAUCCCCACGUGGUAGGUGCAGAACAGACCCAGACAGGUCCGGCAACUUGCCCAGGGCCAAGGGACCUUCAGGCCAGGGAGCCUAGAGUUGGGCCCUCAGGGGCUGACCCCAGAGCCCUUGCAUGCCACCCCUGCAGGGCGCUGUCUCCUGUGUUACGCAUGGGCCUGAAGCAGGUGGUUCUGGGCUCAAAUCCUUGCUCUACAGUUCCCAGCUGUGUGACCUGGGGCAGCUGUCUCAAACUCUCUGGGCUCUGCUCCUUGUCUGCACAGAGUGAGCAGCCCUUCCUGCCGAGGGUGCACAGCUCUGAACAGAGCUUGGCAUCCGCGAAGCUGGGCUAUGGCUGCCUAUCGUGGCUCUCCCAUUUAGGAGGCGGGGCGACUGGGGCCCAGAAGAUGCUUGAGGUCACAGGCCUCCGGAUUGGAGGGCAGGUCCGGCCACUCCCUCGCCCCACCCCCCAGCGGCAGCCCCACCCUCCCUCGGUCCUGCCAGCGGUCAUUGGCCUUGACAGAGGGGGCUGCCCUGUGCUUUCCCCUGGCCUCUCCUGGUUGGGGUGGAGGGGGUAUGGGUCAAGGAAGGGCUCCGGCCAGCCACUCCCCUCUCCCAGCUCCUGGUGGCGCUGGGCCACCUGCAGGGCGAGCCACUAACUGUCCUGGUCGCCCGGAGGCAGGACCCUCGGGGCUAAAACCAGGAGAGGCCCAGGCAGACCCAAGUAGGUUGGUGUUUGUGAGGUUGGAUGAAGUGACAAAGACGGAUGAGUCAGGACACUAGCAGGACUCGGAGACUGGCGGCCCUGCCGAUGGUGACCCCCCCUGGGCGCCCCUCCAUGCCCCUCGUCCUCCCUGCACCCUCGGGCCCCCCCUGGGUGUGGUGGGUACCAGAUCAGGAAGCCGAGGCCCGGGAGGGUCGGUCCCAGCCCGGUCGCCCCGAGCUUCUGACCCGGACCUGCGUCCCUCUCCCAGGCCCAGUGCCCGCGCGCCCUCCGCUCGCUCCCGCAGAGCUGCCAGUCACAUGCCCCGGGGGAGGGCGGGUGGGUGACUCCCCGCGCUGGAGGCUCCAGCACACUCUCAGCACCGUCAGAUAGGCCCCUGCCAGGCUCCUACAGGAACGCGGGGCCUCAGCGCCAGUGCCCAGCCCCCCGCUGGGGACAACCCCUCCAGGAGGGCGGGCGGGUGGCCACCGCCUCUCCUCGGCCAUAUAUGGACAGGAGCCGGGACCCUGCAGCCCGGUGGCGAUCAGGGCUGCCACCACCUCGGCCGACCCGGCAUCUCGGGCUCCCUGGGGCCGCAGCCUUGGCCGUAGGGCAGGGCUGGCGAGGAGGCUGGGGACAGGCGAGCUGCGGGCGGCGGAGGCUCGGCGGCGUGGGCCUCCCGGUCCCAGGAGCUCCGGCCAGGCAGCGGGCGCGGGCUCUGACCAAAUAAGGCCUGGCCCACGGGCCUGCGGCCUCCCCUCCUCCCAGCCCAGCCAGCCGCCUGGACGCUGGCCCUGUGGCUCGAAGGGGAGUCCCCCUGAGAAGCACCCCCAGGAGAGGAGCCUCCGUUUAGAACUUCUGGAAUGUUCCAUUUGGAACCUUCAGAAGGCUCCAUCUACAAUCUUGAGAGAAGGCCAGGUGCAGACAGAUUCCGGGAACUCCCACAGCCCCACGGGAGCCCCAGCCAGCCCCAGGGCACCAGCCGCAUCCAUCCCCGCUGUGAGCACACCCACCCCAGUCCCCAUGCCCCGGGGGGUUCUGCUCUUGGACUCCGUUGGCAGGUCCCAGGCACACUGGUCAGACCCUUGCCGGCGCCUGGGCUGUGGGGUCGAGGGCAAGGCUGGCCGAGGGAGGGGCCCUGGGCUCUCGAGAUCACUGGGGGCCCCUGGGCAGUGACCUGUCCCCACCUGUGCCUGUGAGCCGGUGAGUGACCUGUCCCCACCUGUCCCUGUGAGGGCCAGUGUGAGCCCUGGAGGGAGGACGUGCCCCUCUGAACCAGCUGGAGCCCCACCUGGGGAGCAAACCCCUGCAGGUGAGGAACAGGAGGGGGCAAGCCCACGGGGGGCCAGGGCGAGGUGGGCUGAGGCUUGUCACAUGUCAGGAGCCUCUGAGGGGCUUGGAGCUCCCGGGUCUGCCUGCCUUCGUGCCUUGGUUCCAGCGGGCGACUUUGCUUCCUGGAGCCUCAGUUUUGCCAUCCUUAAAAUAGGCGUAACACAGACCUGAGCUCGGGGACGGCUGCGGGGACCCCGCGGGUACAGUGCGGAGGGCCCUGCAGAGAGCUAUGGGAGGACUAAGCGGGAUCCCGGGCGAGGGGGGCACCCCUGGUUUCCAGGGAGACUGGGGGAGGUAGGGGUGCUCCCUUGGCCCCAACACCCCCUCCAGGCUUUUCUCGGCCCUCCCUGCUUUCUCCUCAGCCUAGCGGUGCUGGGGUGGCAUUUCGAGGUCUCCCGAGCCACCCGCACAGCAGGAAGCUUGUGGCCAGGGUGACAGCUGUCAUACAUGUAAACAUGCAUGUGUGUGCAUGUGCAGGGGCACCCGUGAGGCCCCGUGAGCACAGCCGUGCGAGGUGAGCACGUGCAGGAGUGAGUGCCCGGGCCCUGGUGUGGGAGUCGGGACGUGGGGCUAUUUGCGGUUUCUGCUGCUGCCCGUUUCUGAAGGCUUUUCAGGAGUUCUAGGAUCUCAGGGGUGGGGCAGAAUUAGGGCCCCCGUGCAAAAGGGGAAUGUGUGACCCCACGUUCAAAACGUACCAAGACUGUGAAGACGGCCACAGCAGGGCAUUAAACCGAGGUUGGGGCCUCCUGAGUGUGGGGGCCCAGUGCGAGCCCCCGGGCCCUUCCCGCUCCCUGGGGCGUGGGGGUGUGUGUGACCUGGCCGGGCCCAUGGACACUCCAGCCCGCAGCGGUGGUAGGACCCGCAGGAAGGGUCUGGAAAGUCUAUGAAAGAGACACCCUGGUUCCCAUCUUGGGAGCAGCCGGGAGCCACGUGGGGACAGGACACACAGCCUAAGGCAAGUGUCUCCCAGCCUCUCUGUUGAAGCCCAGGGUCAGGGUCGUCCCUGCGGACCGGAGGCUGGCAAGCUGGCGCAGCGCCUGCUUUUAGCCAGCCUGGCAGGACGCUGUGGGCGGGGGGCCUGGGCAGAGCUGGGGAGCCUGGGGGUGGACGGCAGGACGGCCGAGGGCCCCAGGGCCUCUCCUCGGGACAGGAACAGGAGGCUGCCCCCUGGGGUUCCUGCAAGGGGCUUGGGGCUCCCCCGACAGCUGCGGCCUUGGACCCUGGCCCCAGGGGUGCACUCUGCUGGAAAGUUCUCUGCGGUCUCCAGAAGCACCCACCCAGGCGUGGGAACCUGCCCCGUGGAACUUGGGGCUGUUCUGCUGGAACCUCAGGGACUGGGUCCGAAGCUUGGGGACCCCACCUGGUCCCGAGCUCUGAGCGCCCUCAGGGUGGGGUGGGCCUGGCUCACGCGGAGGGGUCUCCCAGAGCCUGGCACAGCGCCGGCACAGCAGGGACACACAGCCUUCCUGUGGGGCUGGAGAAAAUGGACACGUCCAGCCAAUGCCAUCAGACCACGCGUCCGUGUCGCCAGAUGCCUCUGCUGGGGCUGCCAAGAUGGCAACCAGUGCACCGUCUGGCUUCGACGCUGCGUAUUAACGGGCAGCCUGGUGAUGCACGUCCGCCCGCCCAUGUUUCGAUGUGGGAAAAAGGUCUUUUCUCCGAGGGCCUGGGAGUCUGCGAUGGGCUUCCCCGGUCUCUCUUGCAUGAACCACAUGCCCAGUGCAUCUCUUGCCUUUUGCAGUUUCUGUUUCUUUAAAGUGGGGAGAGAAGGAAUAUGUUCCCAGAGACACCCAACUGGAGAGCUCCUGGGCAGACUUCAAUGCUCUAAGGUAAACUUGUCCUUUUGAUUAAUUAAUCAACAGAUUUAUUUGGCACAGACUGCAUGCCAGAGCCAGCGCUAGAUGCUGAGAAAGCAGAGGAAAAAUGAGCUGAGGGAAAUUCUGCCUGAGGUCUGUUUUUUGUUUUACCAGUGCAGAAACCAAGGCUCAGAGAGGUUAUGUGAGUUGCCUAAGGCCACACAGCACAUGCAUGACAGGCUUUGACCUGCAAGGAUGCUGACUGUGGAAGUCGGCUAGAAGAGAUGUGAGAAUGAGGCGUCGCUGGUGGUUAAGACUCAGGCUUCGGUGCCAGUGAAAUGGUUCAAAUCCCACCACUGGGACCUUGGUGGGACCUGUCACUCCCCCAAGCCUGGCUUCCCUCAACCUGCAAGGGUUGUAUUCUGCCACAUGCCGGCCCACCUCUCAGAGCCUCAGUUUCUCAUCUGUAAAGUGGGAACAACAGGAGUCCCGCUCGUUCCUUCAGUCCCUCAGCGAUGCUCAUCGAGCAGCACUGUGUGACGCGCCAGGCUUGGUGCUGGGAUGCAGCGUGAACCGGAAGCCCGCGGGUGAGGGGUUGACUGGGGAGCUGGAGGGUGCCCGGCCAGGCUCCCUCUGCGAGCCAGGUGCGGCUGGAGCAGGGCAGCAGGCCGCGCCGAGGUGGAAUUCAGCGCAACAGGCCCCAGCUCAUCGUCUGUCUUCAGCCUGCGGGGGCCAGGUCGGGGUCUGAGAGGGGAAGGAGAGGCCUAGGGCCAGAAGCAGGGAGAGGGGCCAGGGAGAGGACGAGCGCGGGGCUGGCGUGGGGUCCUCACCAUCACCGUCAGCCUUCUCGGAAGAGGGGAGACGGGGCUCUCGCGGACUUGCCGGUGGCUCCGCUGAGCUCUUCACUGGCGCUGUCCUGCGGAAACAGCACCAUCCAGCAAGGCAGGGGCCCCAUCUGACAGAUGAGGAAACUGAGGCUCAUGGGGUGGAGUCACCUGCUUAAGAUCGCACAGCCUGGGAGGGUAGGGCGUGGGUCCUGUCCCUCCACGGCCCGCCCGAGCAUUAAUUACAGGGGUGAUGAAGGAGGAGAGAGAUGGGGGAUAGGAGGGAAAGGAGAGAGAGGUUUGACAAGGGGGAGGAGGAAGCGCCUCCUCCUGGGCCCGGCGUCAUCUUCCUCUCCGUCCUCCCCUGUCUGGGGGCUUGUGCUCCCAGGGGCUCAGGCUCGGCCACGCUCUCGGGCGUCUUGGGCCCGGCCGGGAGUCUCCUGGGCGUGCGGCGGCAGCUGUUGCCCCGCAGAUGGUGCCCCCGCCGCGGGGCUGCUGCUCCUCCCGGCCAGGGACCUGGCAUCUCCGGCAGCCUGGGAGGCUAUUUUUAAACCUUCCAGCUGGUUUUUAUCGUGGCCGCUGAUGUGUACGUGUCGAAACCGUGGGUUCGUUCUGCCAGCUCUCUGCACGGACUUCGCAAAUGAGGGGGGACAGUGCUGAUCUAGGUGGAGGCUGGGGGCACCCGAGGCUGCGGCCAGCGCUCGGUCCCUGCCUGGACUGUGGUAAGAGAAGGGGGUGAAAGGGCCCGAGCCAGGCAGGAGCUCCCAGGUGGAGAGAGCAGGCACUGGGCGUGCUCCCGGAAGACGAAGACUGAAGCGUGUGAGGGCAGAGUGGGACCAUCAGUGGCUUUGGACCCUUACACUCAUUUCCCCGCUGGGGGAUGGCAGAAUAUAGGGUUGAGCAUGAAUUCUGGAGUCAGACAAACCUGGGUUUGAAACUUACUCUACUCAACAGCUGUAUGAUUAUGGGUAUCAGUUAGCUACCACCGGGUGACAAAUGACCCCAAAGUUUAAAACAACAUGAUUCAGUGAGUUAAUUUAGCCUGAACCAUCAGCUCGAUGGUUCUUCUGGUCUGAGCUGGGGUCCCUCACGCUCUGCAGUUGCCUGCUGGGCCAGCUGGAGGCUCUGUUCUGGGGCGUGGCUAACGAUCAUCUAGGUGAGGGCACGGCUGGGUGACCUGUCGCUCCUUCUCUGCCAGGCUUGUUCUCCUGAUGGGGACAGGAGUCCGAGAGAGGGCAGAAGCACGCAAGGCUGUCAGGGGCAUGAGCUUAGAUUUGGCACAACAUCUCUGCCGGCAAGUCUGUUGGCCAAAGCGAAUUACAGGACCAGCUCAGAUCCAAGAGGUGGGAGGGGCACACGGCCUGUUGAUGGCUGCAGCCGCAGCCAAUGCUGCAAGGGCUCUGAGCACAGCGGAGAUGCAGAACUGGGGUCUCCCGGGCUCCCAGAGCCUCAGUUUCCUCAUUUGUAAUGUGAAUAAUAUGGCUGUUGUGCUGACUACAUAAGGAGAUGUACGUGAAGCCACGAGCACAGAGCCGGGUCGCGACUCCCUGAGGAGAAGGGUCACUUCCUGCCCCGCCCCGCCAUCCCCGUGAAACGCGCCCCAGAGGGUCAGCUGCUCCCUGGACAGACACCGUCUGAAAUGACGGCCUGUGGCUGUAAGGAGCCCACCAGGGCCAGGAGCCUCUUGGUGAGUAUUGCCCCCCCCUCCCCGGGGGCCGGCCUGACCAGGCACAAGGACUCACUGAUGACCGUCCGUCUGUCCCCCAGGCCAUGUUGUCUCAUCAACACCACCAAGCACAUUCACACACCCAUGCACACUCACACAUGUACCUUUACACACACACUCUGGCUCCCCCUCACGCUCUUGCAUGCACGUGUGUGCACGCUCACACUCACACGCACACAGCCUUCCUGGCUGAGUCCCGCCGCCUCGGUUGGUGCGGCCUUCAGACGGAGAAGCUGGGGGGUCCACGGCCGGAUCGGGAGACUCGUUUCUACCCAGUGCGCCCACCAGUCUCUGGGGGACCCUGAGCACGUUCCUGUCCGACUUUGGGUCCCCGUCUCCUAACGAAAACGAUGACAAUGAUAGCCAGCAUUUGUUGAGCACCACUGACACGCUCUUAUCUAAGACUGACAGCAGCCUGGCAGAGAGGGAAACUGAGGCUCAGAGAGGGGAUGCAGCCUCCCACGGUCACCCAGGCAGUAAGCAGAAGACCUGGAGCUCGAGCCCCGGUCUGGGCUGGCUGUGGGGCCCACGUCUCCAGCUGCUUUGCUACACAGCUUGCAGGGCCGUCUCACCCUCAUAGUGAGGGAAAGCUCCUAUAAUCCCACCUCGCGGGGGAGGAAACUGAGGCUCAGAGAGCGCAGCGACGUGCCCGGGGUCUGCCUCCCAGUCGCACUGGGCUUCCUUCCUUUUCUCACUUGAGCUGAUUUCCUCCUGCCUCAGGGCCCUUGCACCUUCUGUUCCCUCUGCCUCUGCCCUUUGCCAAGUCGGCGAGGUUCAUCCUACGGGUCUCACCUCAAAGGCUGCUUUUUCAGGAAGCCCACUGUGACCCAGACCAGACUCCACUGGCCCUGGGGAACUGGCUGUGGGCUUUCCAUCUGCCGCUGUAACGUGCUGCUGUGUAACAAGCACAAUGUGGUACUAACAUGGCAGCCAGCUAUCAGCACAGUUUCCAAGGGUGGGAGGUGCGGGGGGCUCGGCACCUCUCUGCUCAGGGUCCCCGAAAGCUUAGCCCGAGGUGCCACAGGCUGCGCUCCCGUCCCAAGGCUCCGGGGCACCGACUCCUGCUCACUGGGGUUGUUGAGAGCGCAGCACGCGGCCCGGGGCCCCUGGCCUCCCUUGUCACCCGGCCGUCUUCGUCUCGCUGGCUCUCUCCGUUCUCGUCCGCUUUUCCUCCUGAGGUGUGACCGACGGGUAACAUCAGAUAUGCGUCCUCUUCCGCUUUUCAGGCUCUUUCUGAUGACACUGGCCCCACCUGGAGAGUCCGGGGUGAUCUCUCCAUGAGGUCAGCUGCUUGGGUCGCUGAGUCCCGGGCGUCACGCCCAGCGCGGUGGCUGCAGGGAACAGCACCGCAGCGCAUGUGGAAAAGCAGCUGAGGGCAGAGCCUGAAGUCCUCACCACAGGGAAAAAGCAGAACGUGUUAUAACCGUGUCCGUGAGGGAUGUCAGCUUUCAGACUUACUGUGGUGAUCGCUUCACAGCGCACACAAACAGCGAACCGUGAUGUCCCACACCUGAAACUAACACAACGUCAGGUGUCAGUUAUACCUCAAUGGAAAUAAGGAAUGGAUCAGUCAAAAUAAACAAAGAUUUCCUCGAUAAAAACUGAAACGUCCACAACUAGAAGGACCUGCAACUAAAAUUUACAACUACGCACUGGGGGCCUUUGGGGAGAGAAGAAGAAGAAGGAAAAAAACACUCGAAACAUCAAAUGAGUAGAAAUCGAAAAAAAAAACCCCACCAUCUUUAAAUGUUCCUUAAACGUGGGUCACUCCAAUUUGCUUUGCAUUUCACUUAUUCUAUGAUUUCUCACGGGUUUCUUUAUCUUCUUUCCUGCCCACGUGACGCCACAGCCCUAUGACCCUCCAAUCCAUGCAUAUGAAACUGUCACAUAUACCAACUUUCCUAAUGUUUAAAAUUAGGAAAAAAAAUAAAAUCUAGUGUGAUCUGUGGAAA
Non-coding RNA from Equus caballus (horse), 12944 nucleotides. Lineage: Eukaryota; Metazoa; Chordata; Mammalia; Perissodactyla; Equidae. The record is from RefSeq and is a predicted model, not a curated record.